UGGGGUUAAAGGUUAUGGGUUAAGGUUAUGGGCUUGGGUUGGGGUUAAAGGUUAUGGGUUAGGGUUAGAGGUGAUGGGAUAGGGUUAUGGGGUUGGGUUGGAGUUAAAGGUUAUGGGUUAGGGUUAUGGGGUUGGGUUUGGGUUAAGGGUUAUGGGGUUGGGUUGGGGUUAAAGGUUAAGGGUUAACGUUAUUGGGUUGGGUUGGGGUUAAAGGUUAUGGGAUAGGGUUAGAGGUGAUGGGAUAGGGUUAUGGGGUUGGGUUAGGGUUAAAGGUUAUGGGUUAGGGUUAUGGGGUUGGGUUGGGGUUAAAGGUUAUGGGUUAGGGUUAGAGGUGAUGGGAUAGGGUUAUGGGGUUGGGUUAGGGUUAAAGGUUAUGGGUUAGGGUUAUGGGGUUGGGUUUGGGUUAAGGGUUAUGGGGUUGGGUUGGGGUUAAAGGAUAUGGGUUAGGGUUAUGGGGUUGGGUUAGGGUUAAAGGUUAUGGGUUAAUGUUAUGGGGUUCGGUUCGAGUUAAGGUUUAUGGGGUUCGGUUUGGGUUAAGGGUAAUGGGGUUGGGUUGCGGUUAAAGGUUAUGGGAUAGGGUUAUGGGGAUUAAAGGCUAAGGGUUAAGGGUUAUAGUUACGGGGCGGGUGUUAACGGUCAAAGGUUAUGGGGUUGGGGUUAAAGGUUAUGGGUUAGGGUUAAAGGUUAUGGGUUUGGUUUAUGGGUUACGGGGUUGCGUUGGGGUUAAAGGUGAAGGGUUAAAGAUAUGGGCUGGGUUAAAGGUUAAGGAUUAAAGAUAUGGGCUGGGUUAAAGGUUAAGGGUUAAAGGUUAAGGGUUAGGGUUAUGGGGCGGGGGUUAAAGGUCAAAGGUUAAGGGUUACGAUUACGGGGCGGGGGUUAAAGGUCAAAGGUUAUGGGGCUAUGGGGUUGGGGUUAAAGGUUAUGGGUUUGGUUUAAAGGUUAUGGGGUUGGGUUGGGGUGAAAGAUGAAGGGUUAAAGAUAUGGGCUGGGUUAAAGGUUAAAGGUUAAGG
This 1010-nucleotide long non-coding RNA is filed under the name Gallus gallus (chicken). RNAcentral describes it as "lncRNA (ENSGALG00010000132.1)". The record is from RNAcentral. Lineage: Eukaryota; Metazoa; Chordata; Aves; Galliformes; Phasianidae.